RNAcentral lists this long non-coding RNA (986 nucleotides) under Trifolium pratense (red clover). Its description in RNAcentral is "long non-coding RNA (TPRA_LNC007972)". Lineage: Eukaryota; Viridiplantae; Streptophyta; Magnoliopsida; Fabales; Fabaceae. The record is from RNAcentral.
UUGUGAGUUCACCCAAGUCUAGCAAUUAAAAAUGACAUUUUGCUAUACUAUUUAAAAUUUCAGAAAUGAUCAACAGGAAACAUACCAACUAAGACAUUGAUGCUUACCUUCAUGGGAUUGUACUCCAUAUACCCUGUUCUUGUCAUCAUGGAGUAAGGACGAAUAUCAGAAUUAAUCUUGUCGUAGCGAUGGUUCAUAUCUAUACAAUAAAAAAGUUUAAAGCAAGAAUAAGGACACAACAAUUGUUUUUGAAAAAAUAACAAAGAAUCAUAAUCUCAAACCUAUUGCAAUGUGAACCUUCGAAAGCCAAACUAAACAAAACCGAUCAACCAACCCCCCCCUUACCCCAACAAUUACAUAACUUGUGAUCGGUCUUUUAAAAGUAGGUUGGUUACACAUGAAUAUUAUCCAACUGUCCUCCCUAAGUGAAAGAAUUUUUUAGAAGUAUCAAUUUGCACAAUGAGAGUUUUGAAACAAUGAAAACUAAAAAUCCAUCAUACAUAGGAGAAUGAUAAGGAGUGUAAUAAGUCACUNNNNNNNNNNNNNNNNNNNNNNNNNNGAUAAAUUUAUGAAAACAAAAAAUGUUUAUGGUUCAUCUAAAACUGGACUGAUCACAUCAUAAUCAGUAGGCUCAAGUUGCUUAUACAGCCAGUUUUCAGCAACUAACAAAUAGGUCUCGUAUGUAAUGUGACAACAACCAUUAAACUUGAAAAUGAUAUAAUAUACUACCAGGCAUUUUUCGUACAACAUACCUUAGUGAAUAUAAUAUAACAAUUGAAUCUAAAAGAGACAAAUUAGACAUCUAUCUUCCAAAAAGUUCAUUUGUAACAUUUUUUAUUGUAGUUCAAGGGCAAAGGAAAUGCCACGUCCUUGGAAAAAAUUCAUCAUUGCAAUUGUUGAAUGUAUAACUAAGACAUAAUUUUUUUUUUUAAACUCAACAAAAACAUAAAGAUAUAAGAGCCACUUAUAACAAAUUCAUCCUCUGC